RNAcentral lists this ribosomal RNA (305 nucleotides) under uncultured bacterium. RNAcentral's name for it is "bacterial SSU rRNA". It matches the Rfam family "Bacterial small subunit ribosomal RNA", at positions 333 to 655 of the family's 1533-position model. The record is from RNAcentral.
AUGUCCCUACGGGGGGCAGCAGUAGGGAAUAUUGCUCAAUGGGGGAAACCCUGAAGCAGCAACGCCGCGUGGAGGAUGAAGGUUUUCGGAUUGUAAACUCCUUUUGUUAGAGAAGAUAAUGACGGUAUCUAACGAAUAAGCACCGGCUAACUCCGUGCCAGCAGCCGCGGUAAUACGGAGGGCGCAAGCGUUACUCGGAAUCACUGGGCGUAAAGAGCGCGCAGCCGGGAAGACAAGUCAGAUGUGAAAUCCCGCGGCUCAACCGCGGAACUGCAUUUGAAACUGUUUUUCUUGAGUACCGGAGG